GAUGGAGAAAAAUCUUAGUUGCA
This 23-nucleotide non-coding RNA is filed under the name Cricetulus griseus (Chinese hamster). Lineage: Eukaryota; Metazoa; Chordata; Mammalia; Rodentia; Cricetidae. The record is from RNAcentral.